Molecule: ribosomal RNA, 468 nt
Filed under: uncultured bacterium
Lineage: Bacteria
Description: partial 16S ribosomal RNA
Rfam family: Bacterial small subunit ribosomal RNA
Source: RNAcentral
GACGAACGCUGGCGGCGUGCUUAACACAUGCAAGUCGAGCGGAAAGGCCCUGCUUUUGUGGGGUGCUCGAGUGGCGAACGGGUGAGUAACACGUGAGUAACCUGCCCUUGACUUUGGGAUAACUUCAGGAAACUGGGGCUAAUACCGGAUAGGAGCUCCUGCUGCAUGGUGGGGGUUGGAAAGUUUCGGCGGUUGGGGAUGGACUCGCGGCUUAUCAGCUUGUUGGUGGGGUAGUGGCUUACCAAGGCUUUGACGGGUAGCCGGCCUGAGAGGGUGACCGGCCACAUUGGGACUGAGAUACGGCCCAGACUCCUACGGGAGGCAGCAGUGGGGAAUAUUGCACAAUGGGCGGAAGCCUGAUGCAGCAACGCCGCGUGCGGGAUGACGGCCUUCGGAUUGUAAACCGCUUUCGCCUGUGACGAAGCGUGAGUGACGGUAAUGGGUAAAGAAGCACCGGCUAACUACGUG